UUCUAAGGCGUAACCACCCUGAACAUGUCUGAUCUCAGAAGCUAAGCAGGGAGGGGUUUGGUUAGUACUUGGAUGGGAGAAAUGGGCAGCCACUGCUGGCAC
RNAcentral lists this ribosomal RNA (102 nucleotides) under Jaculus jaculus (lesser Egyptian jerboa). Lineage: Eukaryota; Metazoa; Chordata; Mammalia; Rodentia; Dipodidae. The record is from RNAcentral.